This 498-nucleotide unclassified non-coding RNA is filed under the name Hevea brasiliensis (rubber tree). The record is from RNAcentral. Lineage: Eukaryota; Viridiplantae; Streptophyta; Magnoliopsida; Malpighiales; Euphorbiaceae.
ACAAUUCCGAGCAAUGAUUGAGGAUAGAGAUGCGUCUGGAGGGAAGGUAAAGGGACAAGGAACUGGAACAGUUCUGAUUGUCACCCUUGUUGAUGUUGAAGCUGAAACCAGUCUCAAUGCUGCCAUGCUGGAGGAAGGACUUGCUCGAUUGGAAAGAAGGAAGAAGUGGGACAACAGGGAGCGAAAGUCGGCUCUUGACAACCUGGAAGAGUUCCAAGCCAAGGCGAAGAAAGAGAGGCGGAAGAUAUGGCAGUACGGGGACGUCCAAUCUGAUGACGAAGAAACUGCUCCACUUCCUGCAAAGAAGGCGGGAGGUCGUCGGUGAUCGAAAGUCGGUUAGUCGUAAACUGGUCGCCAAAGCUUACUAGGAAAGUUUUCGUAAUGUGUGCUUCAGUUCAGAUAUUGUGUAUUUAUACUCUGUUUUCCUUUUAAGCUUGAGGAGACAUUAUUUUUCCCACCCCUAAAUAAGGCGAACCGCCACUUAACGGCUAAAUUCGG